This 2432-nucleotide unclassified non-coding RNA is filed under the name Anthonomus grandis grandis. Its description in RNAcentral is "zinc finger protein 64-like". The record is from RNAcentral. Lineage: Eukaryota; Metazoa; Arthropoda; Insecta; Coleoptera; Curculionidae.
GUUGACAGUUGACAUUAAAUCGAUUGGUAAAUAUAAACAAAUUAUAAAUUUUAUAUUAUUGAAUUAAAAUGUAGAGAUAUACUACAUAUUGUGUAUCUGUGCUAUUACAAAAUACGAGAUCGUAUCUAUGAUUCUUUAUGUUAUAUAUGUGUGCAUUAUUAAAAAAGUGGCAAUAAAUGGCUACAGGGGCUAUGCAGGAUACCACCCAAGGGAGUGAAUUUUUACCCAAAAAUUUAAGAUUAUCUUAUGAUCAAGUUUUUGUAAAAGAGGAAGUUCAACAUGAGGAGGAAAGGGACACCCAGGAAGAUGCAUUAAGUGGUCAAGUAGGUAUCUCAGAAGAACUGAAAAAAGAACCUCAAGACGACCUUUCUUAUUCAUCUGAAAUAAAUAAUCAAAAACUCAACCAGAAUGAUAUAAAUAUUUUACUUGACAAUAUAGAACCUUUUAACUGUCCAAUCUCUGGCCGUAUGUUUAAAUGUCCUCUAUGCGAUUUUAAGUCAAGACACAAAGUGAGCCUCAAAAGACACAUCAAAUUACACAACCCAGAACAACUGGAGACUUUCAGAUGUGGUUAUUGCAACUUUGAGACUUACUACGAGCGGCAUUUUAGGGUGCAUGUCAAAGUUCUUCAUUUAGGCGAUGGGGAUAAAAAAGUCUAUCAAUGUAAUCAAUGUUCCUAUGCAAGCAACUACCGAGAAAAUCUAAGUAGGCACAAGAAAACUCAUUUGGCUCCAGAUGAAAGGAGUUCCUUUAUAUGCCACAUAUGCGACUUUCAAACGUUUUACAGAAGAAGUUACAGAGUGCACAUGGAGAUGAUUCACAAUGUUUUAGAUAGUCAGAAGUGUGAAGAAGAAUAUAAGUGUUACCAUUGCCCAUUUGAAACUAGAUAUAGAGUAAAUAUAGUAAGGCACCUUAAAACCCACAUGAAGGGGCGUACAGAGGUAUUUGAAUGUACUGACUGUGACUUUAAAACAAUCCACAAGACAAAUUUUAACACUCAUGUAUUACGACACAAGGACCCUGGAAAAAUAAAGAUCUAUCAAUGCCAGCAUUGCUCUCAUAAGACCUUUUACAAGGCAUCGCUCAGAAGCCACCUUAAGUUACAUAUGAAAAAGGAAGAAGUGGAAACUUACAAGUGUGACAUUUGCGAUUUUUGCACACUUUAUGAAAGAAGUAUUAGGAUGCACACUUUAUAUAUGCAUAGCGGCAAUCAUAGCGCGAUCGAGUAUUUUAAAUGCACAUUUUGUGACUUUGAGACCCGUUAUAGGGAAAACUGGAGAAGGCAUGAGAAAAACCAUGCUAGACCAGGUCGUCAAGAUACGUACAACUGUCCCUAUUGCAGCUUUUCAACUAUACAACAAGGUAGAUAUGAACAUCACUUAUUAAAACACGGUCCAGACUCAACAGAACAGCAACAAAAAAAAGAAAAAGGUUGCAAAAGAUUUAGGGCAGUUGUAGAUGCACCCGCUUUUCAAAAUGAACUCCAUUCAGAAGAGAAUAAAUCAGAAGUAAAUGAUGAUUAUAAGUGCCAAAAGUUCAACAGUGGAAUUCCACAAGAAGAUAUGGAAAUUUUUCAAUGCUGUCACUGCAAUUUUAAGACUAUAAGUCGCAAACAUCUUGAUGAACAUCUAACUGUUCAUAAGUCAAAUAAUGAUUCUAGCCAAGAUAACAGUGAGAUUAACAAGCAUUCCUCUGAAGACCAACUAAUUUUAGAUCAACAUGAGAAGAUAUUUAACUGCGAGGUAUGUUCUUUUACAACUGUGCAUAGAGCCUCUAUGAGAAGACAUAAGGAGACUCAUUUAAAGCCUAAUCAAAGAAAGGAAUAUAAAUGCCCCACUUGUUGUUUUAGGUCCUAUACUAGAGCAACUGUUAAUAGACAUGUUUGCCCUAAUAGGGGUUAAAGUAUAUCUUUUCUGCUUUACGGGAAGAAAAUGGCCCUUUCGGCUCGUUUGUUAAAAAAAGUAAAAGGUUUUUGUCCCCGUAAAGCCGGAAAAUAUUACAUAGGAGGAAAUAAAUUAAGAAUGUCUACUGUAAAAUGGGGCUACUAUAUGCUAAAGUUCUACUUUUAGAAGAAUACUUGUAGAAUAGUUCGACAGAAAGGACUAUUUUACGAAAUUAAUUCUGUGAACAGACGGGAGGGACCACAUUUACAAGAAAUGGAGUGCAAAAUUUGUAUAGGAAGUAGAAAAUCCGCAUAGAUUUUCAUGAAAUGUUUGGGGUGACGUGGUAAAUGAUUUUCUUCGACAGAAAAAAUAAGUAGAAGAAUAAAUGCCUUGCGAUUUUUUCCUGUGGGGCUAUUUGAAAGAGUUGGUGUAUCAUGAUGGAGCAGUAAAUACUCCGGAAGAACUUGUUUUGCUCGAACCUUGUGUUAAUCGAACAAAUGAGUAUAAUUUUGAACAUUUUUUGCAAAAACGGUAAUCAUUUAACUUAAU